CGGCUAGCCGUUUCUGUGUUGUCGCCUUUCGCUUACUUCGAUGAAACUCAUUUCAAUCAAUACUUACAGAUAACGCUUACUUCGUUUUUCUUGUUGUUCUCUUAUGUUUAUAGGUGAACUCAAGAAUAACCUUUUUUUAAAUCUUUUUUUUUCGGCUUGAAGGAUUCAACUGUCACAGCGUCCAAACAAUCACUCUUACAAAAGUGCCACUUGGAGAUGGUUGGCUUCCAGAUAGCCCCUUAAUUACACUUUUUAUUUACAAUUUUAAAAUUGAAUGUAAUAAGUAAAUGAAGGGGUAAUAAUAAUUCAGCAAAUUCAUCAAUGAAACACAGUGACAAACCGGUUGACUCCUUUAAAGAAUCCGGAUGUUCAGCGGGGAGUGGAACUCUUUCCAAAUAUAAUAUAACAGAUAUGAAAGCAAGAAUGCAUAGUUUUUUGUUUAUUAAAGGCAAUCUUAAUACUUGGGGUUUCCAUUACCAUUAUAAGGUUUAAAAUUAGGUAGCUCAACCAGAUUUGUAUCCGAUGAAAUUUGUAUAAGCUUAAAUGGAUAAAGAAUUACUCAAGGCCUAAAUAAGAUUUAUAAAAAUUUGUCUAAAGCAAGUACUAGAUACUAAACGAAGAGAAGUUCUAACCGAUAUUUGCAAUAAUCUUGUAAAAUCAACGCAAAAAAAUGUUUAGAUCUUUACUUUUGUUGCAUCAAUUUUGCUAUAUCGCAGUUUUUUUAUUGACAUUUUAUAUAAUUAUAUUCGAUAACGCUUCUACAUGCAACUUUAUU
This is a non-coding RNA of Hydra vulgaris (swiftwater hydra), 775 nucleotides long. The record is from RefSeq and is a predicted model, not a curated record. NCBI's taxonomy places the organism in Eukaryota, Metazoa, Cnidaria, Hydrozoa, Anthoathecata, Hydridae.